CGNGNNANNNUGCAGUCGACGCGUUGGCCCAAUUGAUUGAUAGGUGCUUGCACCUGAUUGAUUUUGGUCGCCAACGAGUGGCGGACGGGUGAGUAACACGUAGGUAACCUGCCCAGAAGCGGGGGACAACAUUUGGAAACAGAUGCUAAUACCGCAUAACAACGUUGUUCGCAUGAACAACGCUUAAAAGAUGGCUUCUCGCUAUCACUUCUGGAUGGACCUGCGGUGCAUUAGCUUGUUAGUGGGGUAAUGGCCUACCAAGGCGAUGAUGCAUAGCCGAGUUGAGAGACUGAUCGGCCACAAUGGGACUGAGACACGGCCCAUACUCCUACGGGAGGCAGCAGUAGGGAAUCUUCCACAAUGGGCGCAAGCCUGAUGGAGCAACACCGCGUGAGUGAAGAAGGGUUUCGGCUCGUAAAGCUCUGUUGUUAAAGAAGAACACGUAUGAGAGUAACUGUUCAUACGUUGACGGUAUUUAACCAGAAAGUCACGGCUAACUACGUGCCAGCAGCCGCGGUAAUACGUAGGUGGCAAGCGUUAUCCGGAUUUAUUGGGCGUAAAGAGAGUGCAGGCGGUUUUCUAAGUCUGAUGUGAAAGCCUUCGGCUUAACCGGAGAAGUGCAUCGGAAACUGGAUAACUUGAGUGCAGAAGAGGGUAGUGGAACUCCAUGUGUAGCGGUGGAAUGCGUAGAUAUAUGGAAGAACACCAGUGGCGAAGGCGGCUACCUGGUCUGCAACUGACGCUGAGACUCGAAAGCAUGGGUAGCGAACAGGAUUAGAUACCCUGGUAGUCCAUGCCGUAAACGAUGAGUGCUAGGUGUUGGAGGGUUUCCGCCCUUCAGUGCCGGAGCUAACGCAUUAAGCACUCCGCCUGGGGAGUACGACCGCAAGGUUGAAACUCAAAGGAAUUGACGGGGGCCCGCACAANCGGUGGAGCAUGUGGUUUAAUUCGAAGCUACGCGAAGAACCUUACCAGGUCUUGACAUCUUGCGCCACCCUAGAGAUAGGGCGUUUCCUUCGGGAACGCAAUGACAGGUGGUGCAGGGUCGUCGUCAGCUCCUGUCCUGAAAAGUUGGGUUAAUUCCAGCACCANCGCCAC
This 1098-nucleotide ribosomal RNA is filed under the name Limosilactobacillus fermentum. Its description in RNAcentral is "bacterial SSU rRNA". It matches the Rfam family "Bacterial small subunit ribosomal RNA", at positions 47 to 1102 of the family's 1533-position model. Lineage: Bacteria; Bacillati; Bacillota; Bacilli; Lactobacillales; Lactobacillaceae. The record is from RNAcentral.